Molecule: long non-coding RNA, 1171 nt
Filed under: Homo sapiens (human)
Lineage: Eukaryota; Metazoa; Chordata; Mammalia; Primates; Hominidae
Description: HSALNT0134941
Source: RNAcentral
CAUUAUACUUACAAAAGUCUCCGAAAAGUCCUUGGAGUUACGCAAUUUGGGGCCCGCAGACGCGCGUGGACACAAAAACACACGCUCCCGAGAUCCACCCUCCCCGGGCCACACUGUGGGGCUGCGUCCGGGGCACGGGCCAUGCCUGAACCUUCUUCCACCGCCGCGCCCCGGGCCCGCGCCCCGCCGGCCGCCCGCACUGGGUCCCGCGUCGCCCCCGCCACCACACCGAGCCGCCCAGUACCUCCUCCUCCUGAAGGAUGGGGCGAGGACGCGCGUCCCAGGGGCAGAGCUGGGGGUCCGUACGGAGGAACUUCAGAGGCUGGAAGCACGCUUGAAAAAGAAAGGGGGCCUGGGCUUUGCACCAGCUUCAGGAUUGCGUACUUGUUUCCUCAUCCGUGAAAUGGGAGCAGCUGAAUGUGUCUCCUCGAGUUUUCGAGAAAAAUGAGGGUCUCACUUUGUUGCUCAGGCUGAGCUCGAGCUCCUGGCCUCAAGUGAUCCUCCUGCUUUUGGCCUCCCAAACUGAUGGGAUUACAACGUGGAGCCACCGUGUUAAACUCUUAGAUUUGACUGCUACAAAGGUAUAAAUGUGGAACUCCAUAUAUCAGUGGGUUCUGCCCCACUUCUUCCUCCCAGGAAUUCUCCAUCCCAGCCUGCUGCUCCUGUCUUGCACCGGGGAACAAACAUGUAUCCUGGAUGAAAAUAAACCAACUCUUGAAACUGCAACCCAAGACAUUCAGAAGAGAUAAGGCUACAGUGAAUGUGGAAACUUUGCACGUGUUUGGAUGUAUUGAUUGCCUUAACUGGCAGCUCUUUGCACUGCCAGCUUCCCUCAAUUACAUGAGGAACCACGAGGGGGCAAUGUCUUCCCGAGCAAUAAUAGCUGAGUGGUGGUCUUAGGACCCCGUGGUGGCCCAUGAUGCUAGCACUGUGUCUUUGGCCAUUCUUGCCUGUCAUGGAGCAUACUCCACAGAAGGGCAUGGUCUUCUUGGAUCCCGGCAUGGGCCCAACAAAAAUGACAAUGUAGUCAAUAGUUCCACUCAGACCUCACUUAGGAGCAGGUGAACUAUGUUGUGUGAUAUCAGGAUGCCCGGAGAACCUCUCCUAUCCCCACCCAGGGAAGCAUGGCUUAAUUCCAAAUAAAGAAUCUGAUUUCUUUGUCUUUAAGCCA